UGGGGAAUAUUGGACAAUGGGCGCAAGCCUGAUCCAGCAAUGCCGCGUGUGUGAAGAAGGCCUGCGGGUUGUAAAGCACUUUUAUCGGGAAAGAAAAGCCUAAGGUUAAUACCCUUGGGUCUUGACGGUACCCGAAGAAUAAGCACCGGCUAACUCCGUGCCAGCAGCCGCGGUAAUACGGAGGGUGCAAGCGUUAAUCGGAAUUACUGGGCGUAAAGCGAGUGUAGGCGGCUUCGUAAGUCGGAUGUGAAAGCCCCGGGCUUAACCUGGGAAUUGCAUUCGAUACUGCGCGGCUAGAGUUUGGUAGAGGAAAGUGGAAUUCCAGGUGUAGCGGUGAAAUGCGUAGAUAUCUGGAGGAACAUCAGUGGCGAAGGCGGCUUUCUGGAUCAAAACUGACGCUGAGGCUCGAAAGCGUGGGGAGCAAACAGGAUUAGAUACCCCCGUAGUCC
Molecule: ribosomal RNA, 449 nt
Filed under: uncultured prokaryote
Description: bacterial SSU rRNA
Rfam family: Bacterial small subunit ribosomal RNA
Source: RNAcentral